This 900-nucleotide ribosomal RNA is filed under the name uncultured bacterium. RNAcentral describes it as "bacterial SSU rRNA". It matches the Rfam family "Bacterial small subunit ribosomal RNA", at positions 85 to 998 of the family's 1533-position model. The record is from RNAcentral.
AUAUACUUUAGUGGCGGACGGGUGAGUAACGCGCGGGCAACCUACCCUAAAGAGAGGAACAACUCAGGGAAACUUGAGCUAAUACCACAUAACAUGUUGAAGUAGCAUUACUUUAACAUCAAAGGAGAAAUCCGCUUUGGGAUGGGCCCGCGUCUGAUUAGCUAGUUGGUAAGGUAACGGCUUACCAAGGCGACGAUCAGUAGCCGGACUGAGAGGUCGAACGGCCACAUUGGGACUGAGACACGGCCCAGACUCCUACGGGAGGCAGCAGUGGGGAAUAUUGCACAAUGGGGGAAACCCUGAUGCAGCGACGCCGCGUGAAGGAUGAAGGAUUUUGGUCUGUAAACUUCUUUAAUCUGUGACGAAUAAAUGACGGUAGCAGAGGAAUAAGCCCCGGCUAACUACGUGCCAGCAGCCGCGGUAAUACGUAGGGGGCGAGCGUUGUCCGGAAUUACUGGGUGUAAAGGGUGCGUAGGCGGGUAUAUAAGUCAGAUGUGAAAACCUCAGGCUCAACUUGAGGAUUGCAUUUGAAACUAUAUAUCUUGAGUGCAGGAGAGGUAAGUGGAAUUCCUAGUGUAGCGGUGAAAUGCGUAGAUAUUAGGAGGAACACCAGUGGCGAAGGCGACUUACUGGACUGUAACUGACGCCGAGGCACGAAAGUGUGGGGAGCAAACAGGAUUAGAUACCCUGGUAGUCCACACUGUAAACGAUGGAUACUAGGUGUAGGAGGUAUCGACUCCUUCUGUGCCGGAGUUAACACAAUAAGUAUCCCACCUGGGGAGUACGGCCGCAAGGUUGAAACUCAAAGAAAUUGACGGGGGCCCGCACAAGCAGUGGAGUAUGUGGUUUAAUUCGAAGCAACGCGAAGAACCUUACCAGGGCUUGACAUACACAUGAAAC